This 640-nucleotide ribosomal RNA is filed under the name uncultured Rhodocyclaceae bacterium. RNAcentral describes it as "bacterial SSU rRNA". It matches the Rfam family "Bacterial small subunit ribosomal RNA", at positions 897 to 1533 of the family's 1533-position model. Lineage: Bacteria; Pseudomonadati; Pseudomonadota; Betaproteobacteria; Rhodocyclales; Rhodocyclaceae. The record is from RNAcentral.
AAACUUAAAGGAAUUGACGGGGACCCGCACAAGCGGUGGAUGAUGUGGAUUAAUUCGAUGCAACGCGAAAAACCUUACCUACCCUUGACAUGUCAGGAAUCCUGCUGAGAGGUGGGAGUGCUCGAAAGAGAACCUGAACACAGGUGCUGCAUGGCUGUCGUCAGCUCGUGUCGUGAGAUGUUGGGUUAAGUCCCGCAACGAGCGCAACCCUUGUCAUUAGUUGCCAUCAUUCAGUUGGGCACUCUAAUGAGACUGCCGGUGACAAACCGGAGGAAGGUGGGGAUGACGUCAAGUCCUCAUGGCCCUUAUGGGUAGGGCUUCACACGUCAUACAAUGGUCGGUACAGAGGGUUGCCAAGCCGCGAGGUGGAGCCAAUCCCAGAAAGCCGAUCGUAGUCCGGAUCGGAGUCUGCAACUCGACUCCGUGAAGUCGGAAUCGCUAGUAAUCGUGGAUCAGCAUGCCACGGUGAAUACGUUCCCGGGUCUUGUACACACCGCCCGUCACACCAUGGGAGUGGGUUUCACCAGAAGUAGGUAGCCUAACCGCAAGGAGGGCGCUUACCACGGUGGGAUUCAUGACUGGGGUGAAGUCGUAACAAGGUAGCCGUAGGGGAACCUGCGGCUGGAUCACCUCCUUUCUG